Long non-coding RNA from Vespula vulgaris, 2355 nucleotides. RefSeq lists it as uncharacterized. The record is from RefSeq and is a predicted model, not a curated record. Lineage: Eukaryota; Metazoa; Arthropoda; Insecta; Hymenoptera; Vespidae. The transcript has 2 exons.
CAGCGACAGGAAACGUCGCUUCAACGUACAGCCGUUUUUACUCUGCAAUAAACGUUUUUCGAUAGACAAAUGUUCUCUUUCGUCUCGGAUAUUCCGAUAUUUUCUCGAGAGGAGCUUCCUCAAGAAACUUUAAAGCAAGGAAUUCGUGCGUGAUAAGAUUUUUGGCUCGUAGCCAUAUCUGUAUACUUGAUCGGAAGAAUAUAAAAAGGUGAAAGGAAACCACCACCGAACACACUCGAAAGAUCAUUUUCUUACAUUAACAUACUCGAAUUAACUUUUCUUGCUUUAACGGCAACAAGUUGUUUUUACAUCUCUCGUCUCUUUUAUUGGAUUAUACUAUACACGCAGAUAUAAUGAUCUUGCAUAAUGCAUUAAGGUCGUUGAAUUUUGUAUUGGUUAUGGCUAAGUGGCAUAAAAGAAAAAAGAGAAUGUGGUAAAUGAAAAAUAUAAAAAAAAUCGAGUUGUGAAUGACCGCCAUUGAGUAAUAUUACACACACACAUACACACACGAAAAAUUGAACAAAGAGUUUAACCGCAAAAACACCGAGUGGUUUUUCACAAUAUUUUUUAAUUUUGCGAUUAUAUUUUGUUUUUCUUUUUCUCUUUUUCUCUCACAUAUACACGCAUACACGUACAUUAUAUUUGCCACUCGCGAUGACGAAGUAGAAAUGUUAAAUCUAUACUUUACCGAUUGUACAAUGGAGGAGCCGACUCGUAAAGCGAAAGCCAUCGCAAUUUUGAAAGAGAGAUUGAUUUUGAUAAAGAAUAAUAAAACGAAAGAGACUACGCGAUUAAGAGGCACGAGGAAAACCGUAGAAACGUUUCACAACGACUGAAAUCUAGAAGCAAUGAAAGGCUCUGAGUUAGCUUGUUAUUAUUAUCUUGAACCGUUACGAUAUCGAAACUCAAUGAAUAUUUAAAAAUAAUAAUAGUGUUACGCAACGAUAAAGAGUAUUUGUACAUGUUUCUCGUAAAGAUAAUUAAUGAUUAUCAUUGAUGUAUUAAUCUGUGUAUGUAUGUAUAUGAAUUUUAACUUAUUUCAAUUCUAUAAGAUUUUUAUAUGCACAUAAUUUUUUAUUAACAAAUGAAUAAUUAUAUUAAAAAACAUAUUGCAGUAUGUAUUUUAACUUUUUAUUUUUUAUUUAAAUUUAUGUUCUGUUUUUUUAUCUCUUUGAGUAUUUCAAAGUAUAGAAAAUAAUAUUCUUUUCGCAUAAAUUUUCGUUUAUGAUAAAUCGAUCGAUUGUAAUUUACCUAUAAGCAUCGAGCAUUAUGAGCACCACUGCUUAAAAUUUAAGAAUGUAAAUAUUUAAAUAUACGAUCGUACAUGAACUCGGUGAAUACUUUACUCCCCUCUCUUCAAAACAUAUCAGUAAAUGACGCAUUUAUUCCCGCCGAUGUGAAAUCUAUUUAAGAAGACGUUCAGUGAUAACGAUUUUUCAUUUUGUCGACGAUUACGACAACGACAACGACAAUGACGACUACGACAUUGACGACGACGAGGCAUUAAUGUAUUAUCGAUCGGCUUUCUUUUUCACAAAAAACGCGCGCGCGCGCGUGUGUGUAUGUGUAUAAAAUAUAUAAAAUAAAAUUUUCACGAUAAUAUCAGUAGUCAUCUAAGUUUUUGUUUUAAAAUCGAGAAUACAAGUUUUCUUCCAUCUUCAUCUUCAUUUCUAGGAACUUUCAUUUAAUUAAUUUCCUUAAUUUGAAUUUUGUCUUGUAAGUUUUACUUACCUGUGUCUUCGAAGAUGAACAUAUACACACAUACAAACAUAUAUAUACAUAUGUAUGUGUCAUAUUAAAAUUGUUUAAACAUUUAUUUGAAAAUCUCUUAAAUUUAAAAGCAGGGAAUUUUGAAUCAUAUUAGUAAUGGACGAUAAAUAAUAUGCUUAAAUGAUAUUUCCUUGUAAUGAUAGUAAAUAAUUCAUUCAAUCGUUCAUUUGUUUAGGUUGGUAUCAUUAUUUCUUUAUUAUGUUAUGUAAGAAAAAAUGUUUGCGAUGAUGACAGAACUGAGAUAAGAAAAAUUAUUAAUAUAAAAUUCAAAAGCUUGACGAAAUUAUUUUGAGAGAUAUUUAACGAAAAAGGUGAAAACUUUGAAACAAAGUGUUUUAUCUAUCUAAACAUUCUUUACUUAAUUAGCUGACUUAUGUGUUUAAUCUAAUGUGCUAAUCCGCAAAGUUAUUGCACGAUACACGCAAUUAAACACGUAACUGUAUAACUUCUUAAUUCUUUUCUUCUUCCUCUUCUUAUUUUAUUUUUUCCAUUUUUGUUUAUUUUUUUUUUGUUUUCUUUUCUUUUAUUGACAAGAUUGCAGAAUUCCAAUAUACAGAUAUAGCGAGAUGUGGAAAUCAAUAUGGA